RNAcentral lists this ribosomal RNA (491 nucleotides) under uncultured bacterium. RNAcentral's name for it is "partial 16S ribosomal RNA". It matches the Rfam family "Bacterial small subunit ribosomal RNA", at positions 29 to 507 of the family's 1533-position model. The record is from RNAcentral.
AGUGAACGCUGGCGGUAGGCCUAACACAUGCAAGUCGAACGGCAGCACAGUAAGAGCUUGCUCUUACGGGUGGCGAGUGGCGGACGGGUGAGGAAUACAUCGGAAUCUACUUUUUCGUGGGGGAUAACGUAGGGAAACUUACGCUAAUACCGCAUACGACCUACGGGUGAAAGCAGGGAUCUUUGGACCUUGUGCGAUUGAAUGAGCCGAUUUCGGAUUAGCUAGUUGGCGGGGUAAAGGCCCACCAAGGCGACGAUCCGUAGCUGGUCUGAGAGGAUGAUCAGCCACACUGGAACUGAGACACGGUCCAGACUCCUACGGGAGGCAGCAGUGGGGAAUAUUGGACAAUGGGCGCAAGCCUGAUCCAGCCAUACCGCGUGGGUGAAGAAGGCCUUCGGGUUGUAAAGCCCUUUUGUUGGGAAAGAAAAGCAGCAGGUUAAUACCCCGCAGUUCUGACGGUACCCAAAGAAUAAGCACCGGCUAACUUCGUG